This 1883-nucleotide long non-coding RNA is filed under the name Homo sapiens (human). RNAcentral describes it as "non-protein coding lnc-CRYL1-1:9". Lineage: Eukaryota; Metazoa; Chordata; Mammalia; Primates; Hominidae. The record is from RNAcentral.
GGGCGGAGAACGGCGGGUCAGAGAGAAGGCAGCCCGGUCCCCCUCAGUGGAAGGGAGUGGCGGUGGGCGGAGGGUGUUGAGGGGACGGUGCCAGCGGCUUGCGGGAAGCCGGGCGAUGCGGGUAGAACGGUGGAGGAGAGGGCAGGGAGGCCGGGGCCUCCCGUGGAACGGAACCGGGGGGUUGGGAGGCUGGGGGCGGCCUGUGUGAAGGGGGCGGGGAGGGAAAGGCUCGCGGCCAGUAGAUGCAGGAGGGAGGAGGGCCUAGAGGGGCUCCGGGCUGGCGGCCUCUGUGAGGAAGGGGAAGGAUAUGGAACCAAGAUCCUUUAAAUCCUGAUGAACUCAUCCGUAAAGCAGAUGCCCAAAGGAUGAUAUAGAGAUGGAUUUCACCGUGUUAGGAUGGCCUCCAUCUCCUGACUUCAUGAUCUUCCCGCCUCGGCCUCCUGGGAUUACAGGUGUGAGCCACCGCAUCUGGCCAGAAGUUAAGUUUAAAAGUAGAAGACAAAGAAUUGAACAUACUGACAUUGAUUCUUCGAAGAGAAAUUUAGAACUCAUAUCUAACACCAGCCUCCAAUUGAUUGAGCCAAUUCCUUCAAAUAAAUCUCUCUCUGCAAUAUGCAUCCUAUUGGAUCUGUUUCUGUAGGGAAUUCUGAUUAAUAUACCCUUUCAAGGAACAGCUUUGGAAGAUUAAGAUAAUUGUCUGCUUCUGGAACAAAAGACAGGUCAGCUGGUGAUGCAGUUGCAGCCAGGAAUGAGUGAGCACCAGCCUGGGAACAUUUAUUCAGCGAAGGUGGUGGAGGAUGGGCCCCUGCAGGCUGGUUUCCUACGUGAGGCUGAUGCUGUCAUGGUUUCCCUGAGCUUGCUCUCACUCAAUGGAUUCUCCACACGGUCCCCACUCCCCGCGACACCUUGACUUUUGGACCAAGUCUAAACUCCAUAGUGUGGCUUAGAAGGCCCUUCACAGGAUGACUGACCCCUGUGGAACUACUCAGGAUUCUUUGUUGCAGCCAAGAAAAGCCAAUUCUUGUUGAUUAAGCAGAAAAGGAGUCUUUUUGGAAAGAUAUCAAGUAACUCAUAGAAUUGUCCAGAAGGCUAAGGAACUGGCUUGGAAAAACAACAGAAGCUCAGGGAGGAGAGAUAAAGACUUUGGGAGCAAAGAUGAGGUUCGGAGAAAGGUUUACUGUCAAGCAAGGAAUCUGAUCUGACCCAGAGAACUUCAGUUCUGGGGAUGAGGCCCUAAGAAUCCGGUCUCCGUCAGGAAAGCAGUCUGUGGGCUCUGGAGCGACCUGGGAUCUGGAGUACAGUUCUGUUGGACAGUGCUGCAAGGAUGGAGAGACUAUUAAGAUCACCUGACUACACCAUUUAAAAAAUUUUUUGAAUGAACUAUCUUUGUUUGUAAGCCCCAAAACAUGGUCUGAAGACUCAUUAGUGACCUGAUCAUACAGCUGACCUCUGAACAACAUGAGUUUGAACUGCGUGCGGGUCACUUAUAGGCAAGUGUUCAACUGCACGGGGCAGGAGCAGUUGGUGCCCAAUCUGCUAAUUGUUCAAAGGUAGAGUGUAGUUUUUAAAGACAAGUGAGGUAAUUUCUUUUAAAUCUCUAGGCUACUACAAUACAGAAUGCUGGGAAAUGAAUUAAUGUUAUGCUUACGUGUGCUUUUCAAAAUUCCCCUUGUGACUAAUGGGAUGUCACUCUGCAAAAACAUUGUUAGUUUCCCAUUGAUUCCACUGGUUUGAGUGUGUUUAAUGCCGAGGAAAGUGAGAGUUCUUUCGGAAGAUGGUAGGUUUUUGUCUUUUUGAGGUGGUUCAUUUACUUUGAGAAUCAUCAUUUUGUAUUUUUAAAACCAAGUCUUAUAUGCAAAAUUAUUGAACUGUGAGAAGAAAAG